UACGUAGGGGGCAAGCGUUGUCCGGAAUCAUUGGGCGUAAAGCGCGCGUAGGCGGCCCUGUAAGUCCGUUGUGAAAGUCGAAGGCUCAACCUUCGAAAGCCGAUGGAUACUGCAGGGCUAGAGUCCGGAAGAGGCGAGUGGAAUUCCUGGUGUAGCGGUGGAAUGCGCAGAUAUCAGGAAGAACACCCGUGGCGAAAGCGGCUCUCUGGAACGGUACUGACGCUGAGACGCGAAAGCGUGGGGAGCGAACAGG
Molecule: ribosomal RNA, 253 nt
Filed under: uncultured bacterium
Lineage: Bacteria
Description: partial 16S ribosomal RNA
Rfam family: Bacterial small subunit ribosomal RNA
Source: RNAcentral